This 493-nucleotide ribosomal RNA is filed under the name Dactylella sp. RNAcentral's name for it is "SSU rRNA". It matches the Rfam family "Eukaryotic small subunit ribosomal RNA", at positions 54 to 554 of the family's 1831-position model. Lineage: Eukaryota; Fungi; Ascomycota; Orbiliomycetes; Orbiliales; Orbiliaceae. The record is from RNAcentral.
CAUGUCUAGUAUAGCACCUAUACAGUGAAACUGCGAAUGGCUCAUUAAAUCAGUUAUCGUUUAUUUGAUAGUACCUUACUACUUGGAUAACCGUGGUAAUUCUAGAGCUAAUACAUGCUAAAAAUCCCGACCUCCGGAAGGGAUGUAUUUAUUAGAUAAAAAACCAAUGCCUUCGGGCUCCUUGGUGAUUCAUGAUAACUUAACGGAUCGCAUGGCCUUGCGCCGGCGACGGUUCAUUCAAAUUUCUGCCCUAUCAACUUUCGAUGGUAGGAUAGUGGCCUACCAUGGUUUCAACGGGUAACGGGGAAUUAGGGUUCUAUUCCGGAGAGGGAGCCUGAGAAACGGCUACCACAUCCAAGGAAGGCAGCAGGCGCGCAAAUUACCCAAUCCCGACACGGGGAGGUAGUGACAAUAAAUACUGAUACAGGGCUCUUUUGGGUCUUGUAAUUGGAAUGAGUACAAUUUAAAUCCCUUAACGAGGAACAAUUGGAGG